ACUCCUACGGGAGGCAUCAGUGGGGAAUAUUGCACAAUGGGGGAAACCCUGAUGCAGCCAUGCCGCGUGUGUGAAGAAGGCCUUCGGGUUGUAAAGCACUUUCAGUAGGGAGGAAGGUAGUGUAGUUAACACCUGCAUUAUUUGACGUUACCUACAGAAGAAGCACCGGCUAACUCCGUGCCAGCAGCCGCGGUAAUACGGAGGGUGCGAGCGUUAAUCGGAAUUACUGGGCGUAAAGCGCAUGCAGGCGGCUUGUUAAGUCAGAUGUGAAAGCCCGGGGUCUUAACCGUCGGAAUUGCAUUUGAAACUGGCAGGCUAGAGUCUUGUAGGAGGGGGUUAGAAUUUCGAGGUGUAGCGGUGAAAUGCGUAGAGAUCUGAAGGAAUACCAGUGGCGAA
This 396-nucleotide ribosomal RNA is filed under the name uncultured bacterium. RNAcentral describes it as "bacterial SSU rRNA". It matches the Rfam family "Bacterial small subunit ribosomal RNA", at positions 335 to 719 of the family's 1533-position model. The record is from RNAcentral.